Long non-coding RNA from Hippocampus comes (tiger tail seahorse), 175 nucleotides. RefSeq lists it as uncharacterized. The transcript is spliced from 3 exons. Lineage: Eukaryota; Metazoa; Chordata; Actinopteri; Syngnathiformes; Syngnathidae. The record is from RefSeq and is a predicted model, not a curated record.
AAAAGUCAGAAGGUCAUGUCAUAUAAUAGGUCAUUAUUUUAUGUUUAGUGCUUUACGAGAGUUUGCACUGUUUACGUCAUGCUUGAGUUGAUUGACAGGUCCCGCCUAUAAGGGGGAGUUCCCGGAAGUAACUGCGAGUCAGUCUACCGCAUGUUGAACGGCUCUGCCACGUUAU